This 1483-nucleotide long non-coding RNA is filed under the name Salvia miltiorrhiza (redroot sage). RNAcentral's name for it is "long non-coding RNA (SMIL_LNC007305)". Lineage: Eukaryota; Viridiplantae; Streptophyta; Magnoliopsida; Lamiales; Lamiaceae. The record is from RNAcentral.
CCGGAGCUUGUAGUAGGUACAACAAGAGUUGGGAGAAGAGCCUGGAGGCGGGACGGCAGUCAACAUUGCUGCUGCGAGGUUCAAAGCUAAGAGCUGCGAUGACGUCUGAAAUGGAGUCUUUGCUCUCUGCAACGGACCAGGCAGGGGCCAGGGAGGGUAGGCUUGCGGCGUCAGCGUGCCUUCCAGUGAACGACAGUGGUGGGAGGUGAUUUAUGCUUAAUUGUUCUAAUUUUAGGGGUUUGCAUGUGCAUAUUUUAAAUUAAAUCUUCUGGAAAUUGGUGCGUUUUAUGGUUUGUUUGAUGCUUUGCAGGAGAUUUAGGUUUAUAGAUGGAAGAAUGCAAUUUUGGAGAUUUUUGGGCUAAAAAUGGUGUUUUUAGCAGACAUCGACAUAGCAGAGCUAAGUGCCAGAGUCAACUGCCAGCGCUGACCAUUUUCAACUCAACUCAUAACUGCCAGCGCUGACCAUUUUCAGCUCCGCCCAUUCUUGCCAGCGCUGACCAUUUUCAACUCCACUCAUAACUGCCAGCGCUGACCAUUUUCAGCUCCACCCAUUCUUGCCAGCGCUGACCAUUUUCAGCUCCACCCAUAAAUGCCAGCGCUGACUUCUUUCCAGCUCCACCUAUUUCGCCAACGCUGACUACCUUUCCCAAGCAUAAUCAUCGGAGUUCACUUUCCAGAGCUAUGUUUAUUCUUUCCAGCUCUGCAUAUUCUUGCCAGCACCAUUACUUUCCAGCUAUGUUUAUUCUUGCCAGCACCGAUUACUUUCUAGCUAUGCUUAUUCUCACCAGAGCUAGGUCUAUAAAUAGGGUUUCAUUUCUAUUGUAAAAUCAUCUAUCUUUUGCUAUAGUUGUAGACUCCAUCCUUGAGAUCUCUUGGCAUCCGAAAUUUAGAAUUUAUUGCUUUCAUAGUUCUUUUUCAUAGUAUUGAAAAUUCAUUGUUUUUAGUUAGUUUUCGAUUAAGUUAAGUUUUUAGUUAUUUAUUGGAUUGUGAUUGCGUGACACAAUUACACGUUCAAGACAUUUACGGUAUUUCGUAUUUCAAUUCAAUUUAUUUUCGUUUAAUCAUGUUUAUGUUUUUAGUUCAUGUUUAUGCUUUCUUUUUAAUUAUGCAAUUUAAAUUAUGCACUUUAGUUUCAUGCCUAGAUUAGUUUUAUUUUUAAUUUACAAGUACUUAAUUUCUUAAGUUAGAUUUUAUUUAAGUUGUUUUAAUUCUGCCUAGGGUUAAUAAUUUAAUUCGCCUAGUAAUUUUACAAUUUGGUUUUAAUUCAGUUUUAAGUUUCAGUUCUAGAUUAAUAAUCAAACUCUUUACUGCUUUCUUUUAUUACUUUUUCCACGAUACUACUAGAAGCUCUUUAAGACUUUCCUUGAGAGAUGACACUGGGUCAACUUAUCAUCACUAGAAUGUCCUUGUUCUAUUGCAAGUCAAACUAGAGGUGUUCUAGGUUGAGUCAGGAGGGAUUGGGGUAAUCGGGGUCGGGUGCGGG